GGGCUUCGGCCUGGUUAUUCAUAACCCUUUGUUGUCCGACUCUGUUGCCUCCGGGGCGACCCUGCCUUCGGGCGGGGGCUCCGGGUGGACACUUCAAACUCUUGCGUAACUUUGCAGUCUGAGUAAACUUAAUUAAUAAAUUAAAACUUUUAACAACGGAUCUCUUGGUUCUGGCAUCGAUGAAGAACGCAGCGAAAUGCGAUAAGUAAUGUGAAUUGCAGAAUUCAGUGAAUCAUCGAAUCUUUGAACGCACAUUGCGCCCCCUGGUUUUCCGGGGGGCAUGCCUGUUCGAGCGUCAUUUCACCACUCAAGCCUCGCUUGGUAUUGGGCAACGCGGUCCGCCGCGUGCCUCAAAUCGUCCGGCUGGGUCUUCUGUCCCCUAAGCGUUGUGGAAACUAUUCGCUAAAGGGUGUUCGGGAGGCUACGCCGUAAAACAACCCCAUUUCUAAGGUUGACCUCGGAUCAGGUAGGGUUACCCGCGUGAACUUAAGCAUAUCAA
Molecule: ribosomal RNA, 499 nt
Filed under: Cladosporium macrocarpum
Lineage: Eukaryota; Fungi; Ascomycota; Dothideomycetes; Cladosporiales; Cladosporiaceae
Description: eukaryotic LSU rRNA
Rfam family: 5.8S ribosomal RNA (bases 145-298)
Source: RNAcentral